UACGUAGGGACCAAGCGUUGUUCGGAUUUACUGGGCGUAAAGGGCGCGUAGGCGGCAACUCAAGUCAGCUGUGAAAUCUCCGGGCUUAACUCGGAACGGUCAGCUGAUACUGCUUUGCUAGAGUACAGAAGGGGCAAUCGGAAUUCUUGGUGUAGCGGUGAAAUGCGUAGAUAUCAAGAGGAACACCUGAGGUGAAGACGGGUUGCUGGGCUGAUACUGACGCUGAGGCGCGAAAGCUAGGGUAGCAAACGGG
This 253-nucleotide ribosomal RNA is filed under the name uncultured bacterium. RNAcentral's name for it is "partial 16S ribosomal RNA". It matches the Rfam family "Bacterial small subunit ribosomal RNA", at positions 524 to 776 of the family's 1533-position model. The record is from RNAcentral.